AAUAGAUACCCCGGUAGUCCACGCCGUAAACGAUGAGUGCUAAGUGUUAGGGGGUCUCCGCCCCUUAGUGCUGCAGCUAACGCAUUAAGCACUCCGCCUGGGGAGUACGGUCGCAAGACUGAAACUCAAAGGAAUUGACGGGGGCCCGCACAAGCGGUGGAGCAUGUGGUUUAAUUCGAAGCAACGCGAAGAACCUUACCAGGUCUUGACAUCCCGCUGACCGUUCUAGAGAUAGAUCUUUCCCUUCGGGGACAGCGGCGACAGGUGGUGCAUGGUUGUCGUCAGCUCGUGUCGUGAGAUGUUGGGUUAAGUCCCGCAACGAGCGCAACCCUUGAUCUUAGUUGCCAGCAUUCAGUUGGGCACUCUAAGGUGACUGCCGGUGAUAAACCGGAGGAAGGUGGGGAUGACGUCAAAUCAUCAUGCCCCUUAUGACCUGGGCUACACACGUGCUACAAUGGACGGUACAGAGGGUCGCAACCCCGCGAGGGUGAGCUAAUCCCAUAAACCGUUCUCAGUUCGGAUUGUAGG
RNAcentral lists this ribosomal RNA (528 nucleotides) under uncultured bacterium. Its description in RNAcentral is "bacterial SSU rRNA". It matches the Rfam family "Bacterial small subunit ribosomal RNA", at positions 777 to 1304 of the family's 1533-position model. The record is from RNAcentral.